Molecule: ribosomal RNA, 413 nt
Filed under: uncultured microorganism
Description: bacterial SSU rRNA
Rfam family: Archaeal small subunit ribosomal RNA
Source: RNAcentral
GUGCACCAGGCGCGAAAACUUCGCAAUGCGCGAAAGCGCGACGAGGGGAUUCCAAGUGCAUGCACUAAGUGUAUGCUUUUCGUGAGUUUAAAACGCUCACGGAGUAAGGGCUGGGUAAGACUGGUGCCAGCCGCCGCGGUAAUACCAGCGGCCCUAGUGGUGAUCGUUAUUAUUGGGCCUAAAGCGUCCGUAGCCGGUCCGGUAAAUCUCUGGGUAAAUCGUUGGGCUUAACUCAGCGAAUUCUGGGGAGACUGCUGGACUUGGGACCGGGAGAGGUCGGAGGUACUCCAGGGGUAGGGGUGAAAUCCUGUAAUCCUUGGGGGACCACCGGUGGCGAAGGCGUCCGACCAGAACGGGUCCGACGGUAAGGGACGAAGCCCUGGGGCGCGAACCGGAUUAGAUACCCCUGUAGU